ACAGAUCUUGGCUGUGUACAGCAGUCUUCUACCCAGGGCAAGGUGGGGUGUUGGUGUAUAGAUGUUUUUUAUGUGUGUAGUUUUCCUGCUCCCUCCCCUCUAAAUCUCUGUCUGACCAACCUGCUCCUCUGCUCUGCAUACACUCUGUGUCAUCUGGUGCUGACCAGGGCAAUCCUGAAAGAGCAGAGCUUGUGAAUCCACUGCUCUCAGUGGGGGUACCUGUGCCCAAAAUGUGUGCUUCAAGGUGGGGGAAUGUCUUCCCUGCUUCCUCAUGCUGAAGUGGGAAUCCAGCUCAGAAGAGUGUCUUCAAGCAGUGAUGUAUCAGUAUUUCAAAAGGCAGUGUACUGCCCAGGAUUUAGAUAACAGAGUUAUGUCCUUGUCCCUAUAUUUAUCAGAUUUUUCCACCACAAGGAUGACAGAAUGAUAUUCUCAGCCGCAAUUUUGAGGGAGAAUCAGUACAAGAACAUAUGAGCACAAAAAAAAUAAAUGCUUUCAAAAUCACCAGAAUGUUUUGUGUGUGAAAAAUGAAUCACCUCUGCUGGGAAAUAACUCCCAGUACAUGUGAGGAAAUUUCCAGAAGCUGUGAGAAUAGAAUAGCACAAACACAAACCAGCAGACAUCUCUUAGGUAUGAACACAGCAGAACCUCAGGGAAGAUGAUCCUAUGAGAAAUUGUGGAUGCGGGUCUCUUUCAAUAGAUAAAAUAUCUAUUAGAUAUUUUAUCUCUGUCAAUAGAUAAAAGAUAAAAGCAAACGUUUCUGGAGAUGGAUUGCUUUAUGGGGAAAGGAAAGUAAAAGCAUUUCUGUCCCCUCUUGCUCAUUGAUUUCCUGAACAAGCGCUGUCAAUUCCUGGGCCUCUUCAUUGCCCUUCUAUUAAGUUUAUCCACAUAUUGUUUAAAUUGCUCCUCUUAUCCAUACAGGCACUAUGACUACUCUCAGUUAGCAAUUCCACUGCCUCCAUGAGCUGGAAUCAGAUGCAGAGUUUGUAAAAACUCAGCACCUGGGGAAAGGUGCUGCCCUCCCUUAGGGGUAAGAGAAAUGCAAACUGAAGCACAGGGAUCUGUGCUCUGAUUUGAAGUUACCAGAUGGAAAUGUGGUGAUAAAAGGAAACAUCUCCUCUAGAUGUAUCCCUGCAUUGGCUGGUGUAUAAACUUCAGUGGAGAAUAGCACUUUAGUUGUGUUUUGGCACUCAAAUUGUUUACCUUGAUAUAUUGUAGUAGAGCUUUCCUUUUCAAACCAGAAAAGGAUGUGAAAUUGUUUCUUAUAAGAAAGAAAGCUUAUGCUUUUAAAAGAUUUUAGAUUAAUAACUGUAUUUAUCUACCUUCUGUUUGUUUACUUCAUUUUUCUUCUUCUCAUCCUUUUUGUAGCUAUGCUAUUAGAAAUAUUAUUAGAGGUAUAGAUCAGUGCAAAUACUAAUGCACCUGUGGUUCCUGAUGUGUGACUAGGCAAGGCUUUCUUCCUUCCACUUUUAAAGAAAUUAUUUUAGUAAUUAAUUUUAGGCUCAUUUCCUUUCUGCCAUUCCCAGUUAUUGGCUUCUAUUCAGGAGGGUGUAUUUGCCAUAUUCUUAUAUUUCCAUAGCAACAUGGUCAGUUUGUGUUUUCAUUCUUAGUGUUAAUAUGGUUAUUAAUUGUUGGGUGGCAGUGUCUAAGGGUUUCAGCCUAAUCAGGCUUCCAAAUUCUCUUGUUCUAAGUGCUGUACAGUCACAAACACACAUUUCAUGCCCCAAAUGCUUUACAUUUACUCCUUUGGGUUAUUGUACUGGUAAGUGAUACCUAAAUUUGCUUAUUGGUUUUGUUUAUUUUACAGAGAUCUUUUGAAGAGCCAGGUGCUACACUCUUACCAGGAAUCAGUUUCUGUCCCAUGUGGUAUCCCCAGGUAUAAGUUUUUACACUACUUACAUGAAUCUUAAAGUCAUCAGAUGAUUUAUUGCUUCUCCUGAAAAUGCAUAUAAGUGAACACUGUUGCUGGAUGCUGAAACAAUAGAGGUAUGUUUGUCUAUGUUUGAAAUCAUUGUUUAUUUCUUUAAAGCUACAGCUGCUAGAGAAUGUUCACUGCAUUCUGUUUAGGAGUCAAAAGGAAAUUAAAAAAUUAAACUCUUUGUCAGCUAGACACUUGAUUCAGUCCUUUUUUUUUUUUUUUUUUUUUUUUUUUUUUUUUUUUUUGUGUGUGUGUGCCCAUAUUGUUUUCUUCAGUAGUCCUUUGACAGAAGUUGCCAGGAAUAAAAUACUGGCAGGGAAAAAAAAUCAAGGACACUGUAGGGUCAAUAAUAGCUUCCUUGAUUUGCAGAAGGGAAAGAAAAAGGAUUAUGUUAGUUUUAAAUUAAGGAUAUUUUUGCAGAUAAAAAUUAUGUGCAUUUUAACACUUUUCUGUCUUUUGGUCACCAGAAAGGUUGCUAUUUUAUUCUUAGAUAUAAGAACAUUUAAUAUUAAUGUAUACAUGGCUUUACACUGCCUAUUGAUUCUGCUGCCACCGGAAGUCUCUGGGCUUUGAUGACAAUGGGCUGCUCCUGACUGUGAUGCAUUGGAGACUGAGCAGGGGUUUCAAAACUUCUUCACUCAACUCUUCUCUCUUUUUUGGGUUUUUUUUUUUGGUGGUUUUUUUUUUUUUUGUAUUUUUGGGGGUUUUCUAUUUUGUUUUUUUGUAUAAAAGGUGAAAAACUAUUAGUACUUACACCAUUUAAUUUGUUCUACUCCAGGUCUUCAGCUUUGAUUCGCUGUAAUUGCAUUUGAGAAUUGAAGUCUCUUGUACUUGUAUUAAUACAAUUUUUAACUUCAGUUUUUUUGUUCCUAGCAAGCAGAUACAUGCAGAAAAGAAACUAGAUUAUAGUACUAAAACUAUAAUCUGAAAUUUGCAGAACAUGGAUGCUAUAAUUUGCAACCAAUUGAAAUCUUUGUUUCCUAACAGUAACUAUUACUUGAAAACUGUUUGUAGCAUCAUUGGCAUGCAAAUGUACCAACUAGCAAAAUUAAAAAGGUGCUUAAUGGAUAGAACUUGUCUGAUUUUUAUGCUCUUCAGGUUUUUGGAUAAUUCCCAAAUGGUGGGAAGGUUUGUCAGAAUAUGCUGGAGGUCUGUAUUUAAGUUCUGGAAUUUAAUCCUCCUUUGUUUCUUUUUUUCCUCUAGUCUGACUGAUUCCAUGUUUGGAUAUACUCUGUGCAGUGAGAAUCCUCUUACUCUGAGCCAAAACUCAUCAGAGGCCAUUCCAACACUUGCAAAGACCUUUGGGUCAUGUUGUUUUCCUCCAAAUGGUUUUAAAGGUUAGUAAGAGUCUUGGAUAUGACAUAGAAAUUUACUUCCUCUGCAGAUCAGGAAAACAUUGAGUGUACUCAGUAUAUCUGCUGCAUGUGAGAGCCUUACCGAGUUUUCAUGCAUCUCCACAACCCUCCUUUGUAUUCUUCAAAUGCUCAGUUUGCAAUAAAUUGAAAAACGUUCAUAGGUCUUUGGGCCAAGAGCACUCCAAAACUUCUUGGGUCCAGCGUAUCUAAAUAUUCAAGAGGGAUGUCUCUGCUCCCUUUACAAUCCAGAUCUAAUCUGCUGGUGUUUUACAGUUCCAAACUGAAUGAGCCAAUUUAAUAUGGAUCUGAGAAAGAGGGUAAGGCUGCUUAAUGCCUGGGAAUUAAAAAAAAAAAAAAUCCACGAGGUAGAGUAACAAUUAAAAAAAAGGGGAAAAAAAUCCAAACAACCAAACCAUUGCUUUGGCUUGCACUUUAUCUCACUGCUACCAGCUCUUUUUAUACUCAGAUUAGACAGGCAGCAUGUUGACACAGCCCAGACUGCAUGUUCUUACAUGAAAAAGAAACAUUUUUAAUUAAACUCACUUGCUGCUUUUUUCAUAGUGACAAGCCUUCUGCAGUUUAUGGUGUUAUUCAUUCUAUUGAAAACUGAAUUUCUUAUCUUUUUUUUCCCAACGAGGAGCUUUCAUUCUCAAACUUAUAAUUUUCUUUGUCUGCAGUAUUUGCUUUUGUUCACAAGAACAGUGUAAUAUUAAUGUUCCUUAGUUUUCCCUAGAAAUUAUGCAUCUGGUGAUUUUUCACAUCACCCAUUGAAGCAAGCCCAGUAAGCCCAGUGUUCUCCCUUUUCCCCUCCUUUCCAUCUUCAGCCUAAGGUACACACAUUAUCUAGUGAAUUUAACCAAUUAAGUUACAUCAAAGUAUUACAAAUUGCAAAUGUCAUAACUAAGAUUAAUACAAUAUUACAGCCAAAUGUUCAAUUAAACUAUUAAUAGGAAUUAUUAAAUGGGAGAAAAACUAACCCACCCUAAAACCCCUUUUGUAUCCCACAAUGUUGGUAAGUAAAGCAAGCAAGCUGAAACAUGGGCAGAAUAUUUAUGUCAUUGUAUUUAUUCCACCCUUCUAACUCCUGAUUAGGGAUUAACAAUGAAAGCAUCAUCUUCUUGGCUUCAUUUAUUUAAAUUAUAUUAACUCUUUCUUGGAAACAUUUUGAUAUGACAGUGAUGUUACCAGUCCCUCUCUGCCUUUUGUAAUGAAGUAAACAAACCCAAAACCACUCUUAGCUGUGCAAAGGCUUUUGAGAAAAACAUUUUGUAGGCUGUCCGACAGCCAGGGUAACUUGAACUGCCAAGUUUCAUUUUUCUUGGAGAAUCUGAAGCAAAUGCAUUGCAAAGUUGUUCAUUUAAUGCAAGUGUGCUUCUGGACUUAAAAGUUAAUGCAACCCCAAAAUAGUAUUGAUCAGUCAUAGUCCACAGACAUGUAAACAGGGAGGCAAGGCUGGGCAAAUAUGCGUUUGCAAUUUCUCUCCUUAAGUCCAAUUUUUAUAAUUUAACAAAUGUUUACUAGAGUUUUAAUGAUCUAAUAAAUAAUGCCAAAAAUUCCUAUGGAGCUAAUUUUCUAAAGCAACUGGGGAUGAAUAUUUCAUUUAGUCCUUUGUUGUAUCACUACUCAAAAUAACAUCUCCUAAUUGCCUCUAAAUACGGAGGAAAUCAUCACCAAAGGCACUGGGUGAUGUUCCUGCCAGAAUCAACUUCUUGCUUAGGGGUCCAGGCACCUCCUGGCUUCAAGGGUAUUACAUCACAGCAGCUUUCACUGGCUCCAGUGUCUCUGAGCAAUUACUGGUGAUGUUUACCACAGACCUUCUCUAGUCACUUGUAAUUGUAUUUGGUUGGAGGCACUGUGCUGUUAAAACAUUCUUUAGAGAACAGACUGAGGUCAGGCACUCAGGUGCUCAUCAGGGAGGCUGUUUCUGAGUACAGGCAGUGGGAGCCUCUUCUCUUGCUGGCAGCAGGAGUGUGCUAUCUUUUCUUGGGCUGCAAGAGGUCCCAUCUGGAAAGGAGAGAUUGAGCACCACACAGUGUAUUGGGGCAGUCUCAGCCAUUUCAUUAGAAAGGUAAUUUCCAUGUCCCACUCUCCCCACCUGUUCAGUCAGCCUAAAUGUUGAGACUUUGAGGUCUGGAUUUCCAGGGAUUCUUUCUCACACUUCCAGUUUUCAAUCAAACAGGAGAUGGGGCAGUGGUAUCCAGUAGAUGCAGAAGAAGAGCUGUCAUUCUGCAUGUGUCACUGGUUUUGCUUUUAAGCUGGUUUUGUGGUUGCAGAGGCGGCCCAGUCUUGACCUCUGCUUAGGCUCAGUGCAUAAUUGCAUUGUUUCUGCUGUCCACACUGACUGACACCAUCCUAGAAAUUGUUUAAGUGGCUGCAAUCCAACUUCCCAGGACCUCUGGAAUAUUUCCUGCUGAAAUACCAUUCUACACCCUGAACUGACCAAAGCUAGCCUUUGCUUAGGAUCAUUGCUGAUAUCUUUUAUCUUAAAUACCUCUGGAAAACACUGGGCAUACCCCUGGCAGCAGGGUUUUUUCCAGUUACUUUGAGGCACUGGUGCUGUCAUCCUGCCACUGGCCAAAUUCUAUCUGCUGGUGAGGGUAGUUUUGCAGAACUGCUGGAAAGUGCCCAAGAGGACAGAAAAUGGAAAUCACACUGCCUCACUCUUUCCUCUCUGAAACAGGGUCUACUUUGCCAGUCAUUGGUUAAGUAUUUCCACUCUACUGCUGCUGUUUAGAGAAUGACUCUUAGCCCACUAAGCUUUCCAGAGAGAAAAAAAAAAAAAAAGGUAGGUGCCAGGGAUGGUGGGAGAGGGAAAAAUUUAGCUCUAGAUGCCUGCUUGACCUCACUUUCAGAACUUGUGCUUUAAAUAUCAAAAUAAUAUUUAUCUGAGCUGUAACUCAGAGGAGAUGCCCACCAGCAGGUUUGCAGCUGCUGCUUGGGAAGCACAGGAAGGAACACAGUUUCCCAGACACCUUUGUGCCCAUGGUGCCAGUUUUCACUGAGGUGCAGCUGAGCAGGAAGCUGAAAUUCUUCAGGCCUAGGACACCAUUCAGAAAAAGUAAGCAAAGCAGCAGCAUGCCUGUUGGUGAUCCCUGUAGAUGUUUACCAAACCAGCCUCUUCUGAAGGGAAAACCCGUUGAUUAAAUUUAUUCUCUUCCUUCUUCUUUGCUCUCCUGAAGAUUGCUGCAGGCUAUGUUUUUUAAAUUAGUCUGUUAUUUGAGUGAAAGCAGUGAUGGAUCAGAGCUGGAGUUCUUUCUACUUCCACUUCAGAUAUUGUUUUAAAGAUUCUUGCAUUGAUUGAUUUUUUGCAAUAUUGUGUAUAGUUCUCUCUUGUGUAGAUGUUAAGGCUGCAGUUAUUUCAUGCUGUUUUGGAACUAAAGCAAGCUGCAGCGCAGCUAUACCCAGUAUCCUUGUUAUUCUUUUAUUCACCCGCAGGAAAAUAAUGGGAAUUGUCCUCAAAUAAACAUUUAUUCUAGAGACCAUUGCCAUAUGGAGAUCACUGAACAGCCAGGAGCCAUUGUUUAUGAGACAUUAUUUGAUUUUUUUAAUUUGAUUUCUUCUAUUUAAAGCAGAAAUCUAUGAAUGAGAAAUCAAAGAAAACUUUAUUUCAGAAGCACCUGAAUAAAAUAGAUUUGAAGCAAAAUAUUUUACUCAGCAGCUGCUCCAGAGUUGAGUAAAUAUUUUACUCAGAGCUGCUCUAUAAGAUUCCUGUUUCUGGCCAUGAGGUCUGUGAAGCAGCAAAGGAGUCCCUGGUGUGUUUGUCCCAUGGGCAUCCCUGCUGUAUAAAUUGCUUCAGGGCAGCCCAAAACUUCCAGCUCCUCCAUUCCAGCUCUCUCAUGGGAGCACUGGCAUUUUUAGGAACCCUCUUUCAGGGUGUUAUUACUCUAGAGGCAGGAGCAGAGUGUGGUCAGGUUCUGAACCUUGAAUUCAUUAACUAGAUACCCAGGGACCCAUUAGAGUGUUCCAGAAAUCAAAAUCUCAAAGUAACUGUAGUAAAGUGAAAUGUCAGACUUACAUCCUUCAUUACUUGCUGUAAGGUUUCUGCAGACAGCAUUUUAAAUUAUUUAGCUUGAAACAGAAUUUGGAUGCCACAAAUGGGCAAUGUUUACACAGUCUUAGACAUACUCGGCAUAGCUUUUUAUUUGCAGAGAGAUUUAUAAAACAAACCAAUUACUUCCAAACAUGACACAGCAGUAUUGACUGAAUCCUUCCAACUCAUGCCUAGCAGGCUUGACUUUGGUUUAAAGCGUAAUUCUGAAGAAUGCUUUCAUUUGGGUUUUCUUUCCUGUAGUUAGGCUGCAGGUAUCUGACAUAAAUAUUCCUGAGGUGAAUGUUACUACUCACAGUUCCUGUAUUGUCACUGCAACUUAUUCACCUUUGUGUACUGUGGGAGUGCCAAAAAUCCAUUGGAAAUGAUGUGAGCAUUUUCUCACAAUAGCAUUGUACAUCUAAUUCCUCUCCUCCUGGUGACAUUCUCAGAUGUGUAAAGUGACUGGGUCUUUUCCAGGCCAUUCUGUACAGCUUAGAGAAAUCUGUCCAACAACUCAUUACUGAGUUACAGUAAGCACAAUACACUGAUUAGACUAAUAGUUGGCUUGGACUAUAACUUACAGUCUUUCCUACUUUGAUUAAGAUGCAUGCAAUAUGGAGUGUAACAGCCCCACAAUUAAACAGAUUCUUUCUUAGAAAUUGGCCAGCAGGGAUGGAUGAUCCCCACUCAAAUUUUUUGUUAAAACUUACACAGAGAUGAGAACUGCAGUCUUAGUUUCUUUUUUUUCUUUUUUUUUUUCUUUUUUUUUUUUUUCCAGAGCUAAGGAAUAUGUAAACCUCAGGAUAUAUUCGUGUGUCUCUGAACUUUAUUGUUUUUGUGUGUGUUAAAAAUUUGGAUAUAGAGCCAAGUUGUAUUUACACUACACAGUAAGACUCAGAGACAUAACAGUACUGAUCUCUGUUGAUGUCAAGAAAAGGCCUGCAAAUGCCAUAGGACUGAACUCUGAUGAAUUUGGGACCCAUUCAUAUAGUUUUGGAAUUUUCAAGGGAAAAUCAUUGUCUUAAGGAUAAGAAUUCUACUGACUCCAGAAUGUAAAACUGCUGCAUAUUAUCAUUCUUCAGAUGAUGAUGAUUGAGUAUAUAAUUUUAUUUAUCAAACUGGAAUGUUCAUAAGACAGCUAGCAAGCCUGCUUCAGAUUGAUUUGACCUGCAAGAAUGUCUUUCACCUAUUUUUUGUUUAAUGGCUCAGGACAUAUUUAUUCUCUUCAUCUUCUGGUAGUUUUCAUUUUGAUUCUAGGUACAAAUGAAGAAACAAUCUUCCAGUAGAAAAUCUGAUUAGCCUGAUAUAAUCUAAGGACUUGAACAUCUAGUCUUGACUUCUCUGCAUGGUCUCACCUCUGUAUGAUUUCCCAGCUGAGCUGGGCUUAUGCUUCUAAGCUAUCAAUGCAGAGCAGACAUUGCCAAGAAACUAAUUAAUAAUCUACAGGGGAUGGGUGUCUCCUCAAUUUCUGUUCUUUAUACACAGUCCUGCAUUUUAGUGUUGUGUCCUUCUGUGAUUUUCAGCACAUAGGAUCCAGUUUUAUCUUUGCAACAGUUACCAGGUUGAUGAUUCCCCAUUGUUCUGGAGAGGCUAAAUAUUUUCUUCUCUCUCCUGGGACACUUUUACUUACUAUCUUUUCAAGCUGCUUCUUUGAGCUGAAAUCCCUGCGGAGAGUUCUCAGAAGGUCAGGUCUGGUUGGUUUUUUUAAAUGCAGUAUUCAGCUAAUUCCCAGUAGUUGUUUAACAUUUGAGAUUUUUUUUCCCCUUCCACUUAGGCCGGCUCUGGCCAUUUCUGUUACAUUUCAGUCAUGGGAAUGCUGAAAAUCUGGGGUUGUUUCCCAGUUUGCACCAAGAGUGGGUUGUGAUAUGGGUGUUCAUCAGAUGCAGAUGAGUCUUGCAGAAUAAGCUUUCUUCACCUCUUCUGGGAUUUCUAGGCCCUGGAAGCAUCUCUCUAGUAGUGUGCACAGGUGAUCUAAAGACAAAUUGCCUUUAGCUGCUUAUGUACCAAGCCAGCCACUUUGAUAUCACAAUAUCACAGGCCAAUACAGAGCCAGGUCUUGGUUUUAAGCCCAGUUGUCCUUGGAAGAGUGACAGCUUCUUCAAUGGCAGGUUAAAAAAAAAAAAAAGAAAAGAAAAAAAAAUGAAGAAACAAAACCCAACAACAACAAAACCAACCACCAACAGACAGGUUUGAACUUUUGGGGGUGAUUCUUGUUUUUGUUUAGGCACAUGACACUCAUUUCUUUAAGGUAAAAUAAACUUGGGGGUUUUCAUCGUCUGCAGAGCAUAUAAGACUAUAGUACAUUUGGCAAGCAAAUUUCUACUUCUAAGUCAAAAACAAAUUAAUUUAAAGACCUACAUAGGGGAUCACAACUUGAGGAGGUAAAAUGUUGCAGUUGUCUGUGUCUUCAUGCUCUGUGAUGGCGUUUGCAGUGCCCAGGAGCUGGAUGUACCUGCUAGUGUCCCAGAUGCAGCAUGGACAGACUUCAUACAUGGAUAAUCCUGGACUAGUUACUUUGAUGUUGACCUAGAGAAGAGUGUAGGCUUGAUUUUAAGUAGAGCUGUACUUGUGAAUACAGCUCUGUGAGUAGGUUUGGCAGAUAAUGGCCUUGUUUUCCUCCUUCCCCUCCUCUUCAGUUGAAUCUAAACUCUCAGCAUCUAAUGAGCAUCUGCUUGCUCUUCUUCGAACUCUAAAAUUUCAAGGUAAGUACAAGUUUGCCAUCAUGGCAACUUUUGGAUUUAAUGAAUAUUACUGACACUGAGACUGAGGCAUCAUGAAGGGAAACCCAGACAGACACUGAAAAUAUAAAUUCUUUGUCAUGUUAAUGUUCUUUCUCCUGCUGUUGUCCUUUUCUUUCCCCACCUGCACCUCAAACUCCCACUCCAUAGAGGCUUCCUUUGUGCAUGAUUAGUCACAGCUCCUUCCUGCCAAAAUAAACCUACCUACAUUUUUAUUGUUGUCAUAUCUGAGUGCCCUGAAAUUUUCUCUGACUUUGUCUUUGAGCAGUUCAUUCCUUCUCAUUUCUAUCCUUCUUCUUGCUGGUAGAAGGUGUUACACAUAUUACAGGGUAUGAGAGGCCAGGAGAGGUCAGUGAAAGUUGCAUGUACCCUUUCAAUCAACUGUUUAUUAAUGAUAGGUAACAUUUUUGCAAAGCUGUGCUCAAUAUGAAAUCUUUUCAGGGAAGCUUUAGAAACUGUGUAUCUUUUACGCAUUUUUCUUUGCAGAGCUUUAUCCAGCAAAACUGAAAUGACUAACAAAAAUAUUUCAUCUUGUAACUGAAAUUUCAUCCAUCAUGUGGUUUUGAAGGCAGCUUAUGGUUAUGAAAGUACUGCAGAGCUAUGUUGCCUUAGAGAAUGCGAGAAAAAAAGGCCCAUAUUUAACUUAGAUAAUAUUUUCUUUUAAAUAUUACAAAAAUUUCUUCUCGCUUCCCUCCCAAGAAACAGCUCUGAGUGUUCCAACUGACUUGCAAAUAGUACUUGGGCUGUAAGAGAUAGAAAGGAUUGACACAAGUAAUAACACAGCUACAGAAGUCUUAGUCGUAGACUAUAAAAAAAUUAAAUGUGUCUUCAAUUGUAGAUAGAAGUGAAAUCUGCACUAACAUUUUUUAAUUCAUACAUCCUUUUUAUCAAAGGAGCUUAUUGCUCACAGGUCUUCCAAACGUAGGGAAUAUGAUCUGAGGUUAUUAAGCCUUUCAGAACACAGACAUAAAGCCUCCUUGUGGACUCCAAUACAAUCUACGAAGCUCAUCUGAGAGUACUGGAGACCUCUGGUUGUUGCAAGUUACUGCCAGAUGACUGAAUGGAACAGUCACAGAAAGGAAUACUUAGGCAUGAAUAUUCUUGCUGCUGUUUUUCAGCUGGCCCAAAGGAUGCCACAGAGGCAUAGAAUAAGCUGAGGUGGAAGAGACCCACAAGGAUUAUCAAGUCCAACUCUUGGCCCUGCACAAGAGUGUCCCAAGAAUCACACCCUGGGCCUGAGAGUCCAAAGACUUCUUGAACUCUGUCAGGCUGGUGCUGUGACCACUUCCCUGUAAACCCUGUUCCAGUACCCAAACAUCCUGAGAGUGAAGAACCUUUUCCUAAUAUCCAACCUAAACCUCUCCUGACACAGCUUCAGGCCAUUCCUGACCAAAUGGUCCUGUCACUAGAGAUCAGAGAGAAGAGAUCAGUGCCUGCCCCUCUUCCCCUCACGAGGAAGCUGCAUGUACUUCAGACAGGGUGUGUGCAGGAAAAAUUGCUGCAUUUAGUAACAAUUUUGUCUGGUUAUAUUUUAGAAAUAGAUGGGAAAAUAAAAUGAGAGACCAAUGUCAGGAAUAAAUCUUGUGCCUUUCUGCACAGGAUCUGCCAUCUCUCCCAGGGGUAAGUAGAGAUUUACCUAGUGGAGAGAGAGAGGUAAGUAAGGAACUACCCGGCAUUGCCCCGAAUUUAAAACCAUCAGAGGUGCUCCGGGAGGGCGGUGGCGGCCCCAGGGAUGCUCUCCAGGCCGGGAGCAUCUCCCGGGGAAGCUGCCGGGAGCGCUGGGCUUCGCUGGCCGCGCAUCGCCACCUGCUGCCAGGCGGGGAGAGGAGCCCAGGACCCGUCCUUGCCACCUUGGCCGCUGCCAGGGCAUCUGCCCCUCCGCUGUCCCCCCUCUGGCAGCCCCGAGUCCCUCCCCAGGCCCGGCCCCCGUGGGGAAACGCUGCUAAAAUGCCCGGAUAAUUUCAAGGGGUAUUACAGGUAUCAGCUGUGGCUAAGGGGGCUGCUGGUCUUGGGCUCAAAAUUGGUGCUGGGUUUGCUGGUUUGUCCUCUCAGUUUAAGGAUCUUUUUCCUCCGUUAGCUUUGAAGCUUGUCUUCUCCACCUUCAUUCUGUGUCACCAAAUUUCGUUUUUCCCUUAUAAUGUAGGGAAAAAGUGGAUUUGGCGAUGUGAGAAAUAUAAACAUAUACAUAUAUUAAAGCAUUUGGUGAAACAUUGCUUAAUGUUGGAACAAAUCCCUUAUUUUCACCUACGUGAUCUUUUCCUCUUUACAAAAAGUCAUAAAUGGUGUAAUAAAUCAAUUGAAAUGAAGAAAAAUUAUGUAAUUCUUCUCAUGCAUUGCAGAUUGAUGGCACAUCAAUUCGUCAAGUGAAAUUGAGACAAUCUGACUGCAAGAUGCUCAGUCUGACAGGGGUAGGUGGCUCAUUCCAACUACCAAAACCACUCAGGAUAUUUUUGCUUUGUUCAGAAAAAGACAAACAAGCAAACAAUAAAAAAAUAGCCCAGUACUUUAGCAUAUUAAAAUAAAGAAAUCAUUUAAGCUUUGGGAUAUCUAAGGGAAUCACUAGAACCAGAAAACACUCCUGAGUUUUUGGAUAAAUAGAAAAGACACCCAAGACCUUAAAUACAGUCACUGAAUGGUUAUUUUUGCCAAAAGUAUCUGAUCUUUGAGAAUCAAGGAAAAGCUCUUUCUGGGGUAAAGUAACUACCUGUUGGAAGACCAGCUGUGGGUAUAAAUAUAUUUAUGCAUUGAUAAUUGAUUUUAUCUACAUAAAGAGAAGUAUGAAAGAUCCUGGUGUUAAUUGCACUUCAAUUUGAGCACAUUAAUUACACUAAUUAGAAAAUCAUCAUGAUAAGUCUUAUUGACAAGUAGCAACAUGUUUUUAAAAUACAGUAAUGAUUUUAUUUUUAUAUUAGUUUUCUAUUAAUGUUUCUUAUGUUAAGUAAAUAAUAAUUUUAAAAAUUUGGUCUGAGCCCUAGAAAACUUCACGUGUGGUAAGUUAGCUAUGACUACAGAUGUUUAGCUGGAAGGAUUUCCUGGAAGUGCAACAUUAGCAAAUCUUCUCUCUUUUAAUCUGGCUGAAGGUCCUGUAAACACCUGCCAGUACAAUGCUCAGUGCCCACUGCAGAACAAGCUUAGAAUAAUGGUCAGUAAUGUUUCAUACACCCUUUGGGAAAUGAGAACAAAAGAAACCUGUUUGGACUAGUUGUAUAAGCACAAGGCUACAACAGAAGACAGUUGUAUUGUGCAGAGCUAAACAAAAGAAAGAUACACUUGGAAGAGAUUAAUUCUAGACUCAAAUGAAAUAAGAAACCAUCACCUGUAAAGAAUAUUAUUGCUUGAAAGAGAGGUGCAUCUGUUCAUUGCCUAGAGGCACAAACAAGUAAUAUUGGUGGUCAAAAAUCUGGUUAUAUAAAUAGAAUUAAUCAUAGAGGGAGCAGUGGGGAAAGAGCCAUGACUUUUCAAGACAUCUACAUAGUAUGUAAUUUGUACAUGUACCUUCCUAUUUAUGUACGUCCUCCAUUAUUAUAAUGACAGGUAAUGAACUCAAUUUAUAAAAGUAACAAAAAGCCAAAUUAUUUUUCAUUCCAUAACUUGCAAGUCUUAAAGUAAUCAGAGCAUUAAAUUUCAAAGAUUAAGAACUACAAAAGAGCUUCUACUGAAUUAAAAGAGCUUUAAGUAUUUGCAAUUACACUCUCCUCUGUUUCUGUUUGUAAGUCUGUCUUUUACAACUAAUUGGAAACUACUUUUUUCCUCCAUACAGAAGCAAAUAAGAGAAAUGGCUUCUGUUAGAUACCUUCAUGAUUAAAGGUGAGUGGGAUGAACCCUGUCCAUGAUGAAGAGUGAAUCUGCUAAGUGAAUGGAUGAUCACACACUCAGGGGGCCUCCAGGGAGCUGGGUGAAGGUCACCAGCACAUCGUAGCUUGUCUUGCACUAGGGCACUUUUCUCAAGAUCAGUCUCCAAACAUUACAGAGGUUUAGUAGUUGAAGAAAAAAAGUCAUUAAAAAAAGUUUCAAAUAAAUAAACAAUAUUGCUUCCCCUUAUUUCAGCUUAAGCUUGUAAGGAUACAAGUAGCUACAGUUAAAUUCAUUAUACACCUUGUACUGUUGGGUACCAUCUUUUAUUCGCAUUAAGGCAGACUGUAAAUGGUCCCUAAAAUGUAGGCAUAUCCAGCCUGAAGCACCUGUUAGGGUCCCCCUGUAACCAGUGUCCUGUCCAUUCCUUGGUUUCACUGGUGCUGGAGCUGUGACUGAAGCAUCCAUGCACACAGACAUCCCUCCUCCUCCAGGAGAAGAUAAAGUGCUUGCACACAGAAGGGCACUUUGUGCUCUUAACCCUACCCACAGUCUGUCAUUUUCAGGUAGUUUUGGCUGCUCAAUUGCCCAGUCAUCAUGAGCCUAACAAAGUGGCAGGGUACUUGUGUUCCCUGGGCAGAGCUAGAUGUGCUGUCCUUGACCACUUGCUGUUCUCUAUUUUGCUUUCUUAGUUGUUUUCAUUUCACGGCUUUACUUUAAGUGUAAUUGGGUUUUGCUUUCUUACUGCUGGAACACCAAGGAAUGGAAAAGACAUAGCAAAACCAGAAUGAAAUAGCUGUUCAGGAAUGAGACUACAAAGUUCCUUUUCAUUUUAUUUUUUUCUGUUCUCUCCUAGAAGGGGUUCCUACCAGGUAAAGUUUCAAGAGCAAAAACACCAGCCUGCACAAAAAGCAGUUAGGGCUACUCUGUGAAAAUACAUUCAUCUUAGAAAAUCUCAUUUUAAUAUAUAGAGAAGCUGUCAUUUGAGCCAUUCAUAGACCCGUGACUCUGGGUGUUUUGCUGUUGGCAGAUCACUUACUCAUGGUAGUUCUCUUGUGGAAAGACCAAAGGUACAGUAUUGCAUGGCUGUGUCAUGGUGUGGCAGAGGUCUUGGAACAGGACCUGCAACCCUCACCUGCAGAAACAGCAUUGCUGACAAAGGACAGCUGGUGGUUUAUCUGGCUGUAAAAAGUCUGUGCAUAUUGCUACAGAUAGGAAGGCUGUAGUUUCUGUGGCUUCAAACCUGCCUCAUCUUCGGCCUAGCACAAAUAUUUGUGUAGUCAGGUGAUAAGUGAGACUCUGGAAAACUCUGGAAAAAUAGCCUUGCCAAAAUAAAUGAAAAGAUUUAUUUUUCAGUCUUCUCAGGACUGCAGAAUAUUCACAGAAAAGCUCGUGUUAGCAAAAGAAGCAGUGUGGAAACAAACAACUGGGGAGAAGGGCAGGAUUGCCUCUUUUGGUGGCUGUGCUUGCUUCAGUAGGCUGCAUGUGUCAUCUGAAGUAGCCAAAGGCUACUCAUCUGAAAAUGUUUUUGAGUCACUGCACAGCCCAGCUUGAUUCCCUCUCCUUUGGAAAAUACGACUCGGGCUGUCAGUGCUGUUAAGGAAUCUAAACUUUGCAAUGUUUCCCCUGUCUAAAUCCUUACUUUGGGAGGUAAAUCUGGGGAGAAAACAAUCAGACUGGAUGACAUGCCAUCACUGUUGGUUGUGUUAAAGUCCUUGUCAGCUUAGCAUGCAGGGAAACAGGCUCCUUGGGAUGUUUGGAUUUACCUGCCAGUGGAAUUGAAAUGGGAGCAGGUUUGUACACAGCAUGAUUUGCUUUUGGCAGCUGCCUCUUAAGGCCAUGAAAUCUGAACUUGUUCCUCUUGCUGUAAUGUUUAGGACUGGGUUGCAUGGACAUUUCUUCACUGAAGAGAAGGAACUGACACAUAGACAUUGGUCUGCUCUGAUGUCAAGGACUUUGUGAGAUAUUUGCAGGAAAGCUGUGACAUUAACUGUGUCAUUAACACAGAGGUACUGUAAAUAUGAAUGGGUUAAUGUCUGUCCACCACAAAAAAAAUAUUGUUUCACAUGUACUGAUGGGAUAAAAGCCUAUAUCUUCCUUUAGAUAAGCACGUCUUUUUUCUUGCUUAGACUAUAGAAGUGCAUGUUUACAUACGGCUCUUUAAAGUGUUACUUUUUAAAGGUGCUCACCACCUCAUCUGUCUGACCUGAGAGAUUACCAGUAUGGAAGGAAAAACAUAGUGCUAGGAAGGUUUUACUGUAUGACAUUGUGACCAGACCAAAGGUUUCUGCUGAUGUUAAUCCUUGUUAUCUUGUAAUAAAUAUCAGCAAUGAGCCAAGCACAAAAAUGGCUGACAUUAACUGGAGCCAGUCUAACCUGAUGGUCAGCAGUUUUGGCAGAUCUCUGCAGAAAGAUUGCCAGGGGUGUGGCAAUGUAUGCAAACUGCAAUGGCAGCAGCAGCAGCUGGGAAAGCCACUGCAGUGCGAACACUGACAGUGUCCGAGACAGACUGUAGACAUUGAUAAUGAAUUAGUCUGGGAUGAAGAGAUAAAGACCUUGUAAAAUUACUUCAGAAGUCAGACCAAACCAUUCAAAGGGAAGCAGUACCUGCAAGGGGUGUAAUCUUAGCAGGAAAAAAAAUCAAGGUCGUUCUAACUUUGCAGCAAAGAUUUUCUUGUUUCAAGAAAGGCAGCAAAAUACUUUGUGUGUGAAGCAUGUCAGAAAGGCUUUGACAAAAAUUGUGAAAGGAAAAGGCUGUUUACCUUGAGCCACUGAAUAGGGACAGGACUUGCGAGUCAGCAUUCCUUAGCUACAUUUAUGAAGGGAAAAGUGUGAUCAGAAGUGACAGAGUUACACAAUUUAUCAGCACCCACCUAUUAUUAACAGUGGCAACUCCUUUGCAAAUUGGUGGGCAUUGUGGCCAGUGAAAAAUAAAGGACACACAAAUACAGUGAGACAACAGGCAGAAGUGUACUCACAUAAGACUAAGCUUGAGCUGUGUCCUCAGCUACCUACUAACCAAAAUUGAUAUUUAAUAUUCUAGUCCAAUAGUGAUGAUUUCCCUGUUACCUUGAGAGUUUAUGGUUUAAUUGUCUGAAUAUAUAAAAGCAUGCAAAUGUAAAGAUAAGGCGUGAUUUGCCCUCAGCACAUCUCCCCAAACAUAUGUUCUCAGUAAAAAGCAAAAAUUCAAACUAAGUUUAUGUUUCAGAGCCUGAUUUGACACUUGAUUUUUCCAGCACGUUCCAGCCAUCAACCAAAAUAUAUGACCUUCAGUUGUCUUCAAAACAACCUGUUCAGGAGCUUUACAGAUUUUCAAUGAACUUUAAUGAAAAAUGAAAUACAUAUUCAACUGCUGCCAGAUAAAGUGGUUGAUGCUGAAGAGAGAAACUCACUCCUUCUUUCUUCUGAGGGAGGGUGUAUUUUCAUAGAUGGGGAUUUUCCAAGAGCUUUCUACUUCACACGCAGGUGUGACAUCUAAGAAGCCAGAUGAGUGCUGAGCUGGAGGAUGUGGAACAAAAAAGAAACAUCCAUCAGAAGAGACACGUGCAUAGCUCUGAACCCAUACUGGUUUCAUGCUGGGUCAGUCACCAUUAAGUACAACAGUUGCCUCAUGCAUAUUCAGUCAAGCCCCUACUGUGUCCUCAGAGCACUUGAUAGUUUUGGGGUGCUCUUGCCUUAAUUUGAAGUUCAUUUGAAAUAGGUUAGAAAAGGUGCUUUUGUUUGUGUGUUUACAUGAAGAAAUACAGCCCCAUCAAGUGUCACCCUGGUGCAGAACAGUGCAACAGGAUAUGUCUGAGAACCAGGCUGCAAAAGAGCACCAGAACACUUCCCUGUAAAGGAGCACAGGGUAAGACAAAGCUAUUUAUUCAGUACAGAAAGAUUUAGAGCAGGCUAAGCUGGAUAAACUAGAAAAUGUGAAAUUAUAUAAAAUUAGGUGUAAGUGUUAAUCAAGAGCUAAUUUCCUUCUCUAAGUGACUGACUCACAGAUGUUCUGAGCCCCACAAAAAAGAGACAGGACUUUGUGAGGUAACAACAACAGCAUUACAAAACCUGUGUUACUGUUUCUUGCAUUUUAGUGUAAUUCAUGCAUUUUAUUUUUUGGAAAGCAGACCUAGAGAAAGCAAAGUGUUGCUACACUAGAGAGUUAGCAGUUUCGCUUAGUGACUGAGGUGACCGGUGCAUCAGGCCAGUCUAAGGCUGCACAGAGAGAUACUAGUGUGGAGGCUUUUAUUAGUCUUUUCUGUUUGAAUACAUGAAUUUUCAUGUAGAAUAAUAGGAAAUUUCAGCACAGAAAAAGGAACUGGGCAACUGGUAAUAUGAGCUAAUAGAACUGGAGAGGACCUCCAGUCAUUUGGUGUUACAACUUUCCAGGAUGAACUUUUUACUGUAGUGUUAAUAAACACUGUUUUAAUACCACUCUGGUAAAUUAUCCUCAUGCUUCUAUUAGAAGACUAUUCUGGAAGCUCAGACCUAGCACUGAACCCUCAAAACACCCAAGUGAAAUUAAUUUAUAACAGGUUGAUGCCUGUUUGAUUUGCUGCCAGUACAGUCCAGUAGUUUUAACAGCGUUCUCCAUUUGUAGCAGCUACCAAUCUGCAAUUUUCCUGAGGAGAAAUCCUACCCUCUUCUAGAUUUCAUUUUGCUAGCUAGAGAAGCUAUGUGCUUUCAAUUUUUUUUGCUCAUAGACUGUUUGCAGGCAAGUAAAAUUGCAAGCAAAAAUACAGUGAAAAAAACUGAGAAAGAAUUUCUCAUUUCUAUAAAUUUCUAUGCAGUGAGAGAUGAGUGAAGGGGGUUGUUUCAAAGGAAGUAAGAACAGAGUAGAAAAGGAAACAAAAAUGUCUGGACAGAGUAGUAUGAGGCAAUAUGCAGCUGAUAUAUUUGGCUAAACCUUGAUAUAUAAACCAUUCUUCAUAAAAUUGGUAGAUGCAGAAUUGUGAAGAACUGUUUUUUUCAUCUUUGAAGGAGUGAUCUGCUUCUUCUGCACCAUUUUGGGAAAAGCAAAUUUCCAAAUACUUGCUCAAAAGACUGCAGUGAAACAAAAAGAUACAGGUAGAACUAGAAAUAGUUGAUGUUUCUUUGUAGAAAACUGUUUCACCAUCAUUCCUGUAUUCACAUGUGCUGAUGACGAAUUUGUGAUUGCAGACCCUGCUGGAGGUGAUGAUGUCUUUUCUGAUGUGAUACCGGAUUCCUUUUUCAUCCAUAGAACACCAGAAGUCCUUUCUUGAUUGCUUUCCAUUGUUCAGAAUCAGGAAACAAAAUAGCAAGCUGAUUUAGUACCAGUGCUUGUUGCCCUCUCCAUGUUUGUGCUAUGGCCAGAUUACUCCACAGCAGGUCCCUCAAGUUUUUUUGAAGAUGUAAUUUGGUGUAAGUGCAUGAACUUGUGCAUUUGGGCUGCCAGGUCUGACAAUGAUAAGUGGCAAAACUCUCUAUGGCUCAAAUUAAAAGGAGACAGGCUGGGGCAUGGACUCGGACCCUCCUUGGUUUUCUGCAUGUCAUGCUUCCAAAAUUGUUGAUAUGGUCCUGUAAUCAAGCUGUACCCUCUCAUCAUACCUUGUACUUGGAUCAACAGGAAGGAGUUACCUGGGUUUUUUUUCAUUGCUUGAAAACCUGAAGAGAAUAGAAGAAAAAUUAGGUAGUUUCUUUUUUGGGUUUUUUUGGGGUUUUUUUAAUAUGUUUUGAUUAAGCAAUAAAGGUUAUAGAGGGCCUUCUAACCUUAAAAUAAGUGUCUGGGGGAAAAAUGCAUUAAAAAAAAAGAGGAGUUUUUAAAAUAUUUUUGAAGAGAGAUGAAAAGUACCUAAAGUGCUUGUGCAAAUGCAAAAUAAAAAAACAAGUCCAUAUUUGGGAGUAAAUAUAUCAUGUAAAUAGAUCCAUUUCACUCAGACUUAAAUUUCUGAUUUUUACACAGAAGUUAACUACCUCUUAAGCAAAUUACAUUUCCAGGCAGAAGGUGUGUCACAAAUGUAAAACUAACCACGUGCAAUUUGCAUUUUGAGCAGGUAGCAUAAAAGAAAAAUUGCAUUUCAAUGGCUUAUUCAACCUUUGUCACAUCUUUUGUAGCUCUUUUGACAGCAUCAAUGUAAUACCAUUAUCUUUUGUAAAUGUGCUAUUUUCCUCUGCAGUUAAUAUGAAGAGUUCACAAGAGAAUAACAAAAUUAUCUGAAUAUGCCUUUUGCAGACAGUGUUUUAUUCCACCACGAAUCUGCUUGCUGGGUAUAGAUGGAAAAGUGUGAAUUUUGCUCACAGUGAAUAUUGAGCUUCUGUGAUUUACCAAAAAACCCAGUAACUACUUUUGUUUCACAUAUACUUAAAUGCAUGUCAAGCAGAGCAAAGAAAGCCAUUCCAACCUUUCUGCUUUGAGGAGCAAUAAAAAAUCCUUGACUAUCCAUAUAUGUGGAGAGGAUUCCUAACCUGAACUCUUGGUUGAAGGAAAUUGGUCAUUUGGAGAAAAUCAGGCUGCUGACAGCAAGAAUGUCAUACUAAUCUGGCAUUUACCUUUUAUUUCAAUUGCAUUUGUCUGCUUAUUCUCUUCAUAGAAUUCAUAAAUGUAUGAUCUUUAUAAAAUGUAAUAUGAAUAAUAUUCUGAUUGCUAUUUAUUUUAGUAAAAAAGGAUAAUAAAACUUGCACUAGGGGGAUAUUAAAAAGGAUAUUAGGAGAUUAUAGAAUAAUGAUAAAGCAAAAGUUGCUGCUGCUCAGGCAGAUAGUAGCCAUGCAAAGGAAAUUGGAGGAGUCUCAUAGAGGAAAAAAAAAAGAAAGGGGACAGUGGUGUAAAGAGAUGGAUUAAAUUCAGCAAGGCUGGCAUCAGUUUUCAAUGAGGAUUGCAGCAGAGGCCUCUCUGACCUAUAGAAAUAAAUAGUUGAGCAUUGAACUGAGUAAAAAAGAUUCUACAAGUUAAAAAAGAGGGAAAUAGGAUAUUCUCCAUCCCAGAGCUUUGGCUCAAGGUGUCAAAGAUUUAAUUUUUUAUUUUAAAUGAACACUCAAUCAAAAUGCCAUAAAUACAAUGACCACCAAAAAGCAAAUUAAUGGGUUUUUUUUUUUAGGAGAAAUAUUAAAAAACAAAUUUUAUAAAUAUUGCAUCCUGUCAUCUGACCUCAGAAUGCACAGAGUUCUGAAACCUGACAAAAAAAUUUAAAGCCGUGACCAAUGGUAUAUGACAGACUGAAUCAAGAUACAUGGGUUUUUUUCAGAGAUGAGAAAGUAGUACACUUUUCAUCCACUUACACUUAGAGCACAGUAUUUGAUUUCUACCACCAGAAAAAAAAUCACUAUUUAAACUGAAGGAGACAAGAUUUAAAAAAAAAAAGGGGGGGGCAGAAGGCAGAGAAACGGCUCAAAGGCCACAGGGCAGUGGGCAGUCAGGAGACAGCCUGGCUGGGGAGGUAGAAAGGAGCAGGUUUGGGGAUGGUGUGUGUGAUUGUGCCAAUGAGCUGCUAUCACAUAACCUGGCAAUUAUUGCUAAGCAUUUGGUACUGCAUGGCACAGACUGUAUUUGUGUAUUCCAGGUGCUUAGCACACAGAGAUGCAGGUGGCAUGUGUGGCUUCUCUGGUGGCAGUGCCACGACUGGCCACAUGGAUGUUUUUCAGGGAAGCCACACAGCUCAGUGGGACCUACUGGCUGAGUCCAGAGCAAUCUCUUAAGCUCAGAGCUACCUCUUGAGCUCCAUGGAGAAGCUGAGGAAUGUCUUGAGACAGGUGAGACACAAGUGAAUCUGAAACAGAGCAGGCCAGCACUGUCACCAGAACAUGGAGUUAGAUGGAUUGCAGGGUCCACAUUGAGCAUUUGAAGAAGUCUUUGUCUGUGCUGCUCAGUUAUUGGCAUCUUUGUGUGACUGGUGUCCCUUAACAAAAUGAGAUGCGCAUCUCCCCAGAUGUUGUCCCUUUCCCACACACUACAACAAAGCAUGAGAUUUUUACUAAUCACUUCACUUGGCUGAACAUGAUGAUUCCAGUGAAUGGCAAAUAGACAGAACAUAACAAAGAAAGGGUUCUGUAAAGCUAUUAGCACUGAGCUUGAAUUUUAAGAAAUGUAAAAACAAGGAAAGGUGGGCUAUUAAUUCCAUCUAAAUGACUGGCCUGAUUUCUAUUCUAAAAAUCUAUUUUAACUCUGUGUAAUCACAAUAUUGCAUUUGUUAGCUCACUGAAAUGUAAUCUUAUUAGUGGUUCAAAAGAUUGCAUUUAAUCUAGCUGAUUAUGCUAGUGCAUCUCUGAGUAGCUAGUUCUCUACUCCUGCGGCUCCUAAUGAACUGACUGUGCAUUAAAUUUCACCAAAUAAAAGUUACUACCUAGCUUAUUCUUAUUUGUUCUAGUGUUCUGCACACAGUAGUUUUCCUUUAGUUGAAGUCUUACGUAAACUUUCUAUUGCUAAAAAGCCACCAAACUCCUUUUAGCGUAUGCUUUCUGUAUGUCAGCAUGAAUUUUCAGUCUUCAUAAUUAACAACAAAUAAACAGGUUUUCUUCCCAUGGAUACCAGUGUAGUUUGUCUCUGCACUAACUCUUGAUUACCUGCUCGAUGAAGAGUGCCUGACUUAGUCAGUAAUGUCACAGAUCUGUUUGCAGAAAGAAAUUAUAGCUGCAAGACAGGCUUUGCAGUGAUUUAACUUUCUUUCAAUGCUUAGUUCUUAUAUUAAUCCCUAUUAAGACAAGUAAUUGUUUACAGAGAGCAGCUUUAAUAGCAGUGGUAAAUUUUUUCACUCUGCCUUUGCUUGUGUAUUGAAAGCCACUCAACUGUGAAAGAUUUCAUUUCCAUCUGGAGACUUGUGCUGAGAAAAAAAGGAAGGUCAUCCCUUGCAAGUGGACAACAAAGGCAUUUCAGGCAGCAAUUGCUGGUUUGCUACAAGUGUUAAAAGCCAGGACAAUAGAGCUGGGGCUGUUUUGGAAAAAGAAAAUGUGGAACAAAAACCCAAUUUUAGCCUGGUUACAAGGAGGUUGCAACAGAAGCCACUGUAAAUACACCUGGACUGAAUUGAGCCAUGCUGUCUUCAAAGAAACAAGCUGUAUCUGGGAAGAAUAAAAAAAGUGUAAGUAUUUGGUACAGCCUUUUCAAAUUGCACUAGCUGAACUAUGACAUCUUUUGCCAUCCCUCACUCAGUACCUAACACCACAGAAAGCUGGGAGAGUGCAGUAUACCCAUCUUUCUGCUGCCCUCCUCGCUACUGGUCUAAUGAACUUUCCUGGAAAGGACGUACUUGCCCCUACCCUCUCCAGAUGAGGCUCAGCCUUGCAGGUCUCUGUGAGAGGGAAGAAUCUAGAGCUGUGCAGUGAUGCUUACACACAUUUUCCAGAUGUUUAUUGCCUGUGUGUUUAAGACUGCAUUUGCUGUGGUAGUUCCUGAAGCUGUUCUAGGUACAUCUUAGGGGAUGAAGAGUUCAACAUUUAAAAGGCAGUUUGCAGUUAAUAAAAAUGGGGAAAGGGAAAAGACUUGGGGGAAUGGGCUGGUUUUCAACUUCGAUGUCCACCUCCACCUACCAGUGUGAGAUAGCCUAAACUGCUCAGCACUUCCCCACAUCGCAGGGGAAUCUUGAUAAUGAAACACUGCCAGAGGGAUGCUCGGUGCACCCUCUGCUCACUUGCUAAGAUGAGGCAUCUGUUAACAGCACUAGAACUGCCCAAAUGCUGAGUCAACAUACACCUACAUUCAGCACCACCAGGAUGUGCUCCCAUGCACAGUGGUUGCAUGGCAUUAAUGUGCAUUUCCAGUGCUCAGACUUUUUUCCAUCCAUCUAUCAAAUUGAGCAUGACCAAGAAGGCAAAACUCAUUACAGCUGUUGUUAAAGUGGUAUAAACCUAGAACUGGAACUAAAGGACGUAAAAUUGCUUGAAUUUAUUGCUUGUAAUUAUUUUGCAGUUAAAACAGAUGCCUCACACUAAAGGGUGAAUAACAAUUUCAUAAUAUCUGUGUGAGCCACCUCAGGCUAAUUUUGUUUCUAGCUUAUGGUGAUGGGGAUAAGCAGCCAAGUCCUGCUUCCAUCUCUGAGCACCCCUGUAUAGAUACUCACUGAAAAUGCACUGAAAAUACUAUCUACUUCCCCCUGAGUGGGGAGGCUGUGAGAUCCAGUGCAGUAUUAUGAUAUUAGCCAUAAGCUGCCUGAGGUCAUGGUUUCCUGACAACCUUACUGAACCAGAGGUUCUCUGUGCCUUAGGAGCAGCUUCAGAUGUAAGCAGACAGCUCAGAAGCUGGAAGAAGGAGCUUCUGCUGUGCUAUCUACAGAGAAACAGCAAGUGGACACAACAAUAACAGCAAUAAUCUCAUUGAACAACAAACCACAGAGAGGCUGAGGCUAGAAGGGAUACAUGGAGGUCCUUCCUGCUAAGUAGGCCGCCCGGGAUCACAUCCAGACGGCUUUUGAGAAUCUCCAAUGACGGAGACUCCACAACCCCUCUGGGAAAACUGUGCCAGUGCUCAGUUACUGUCAUACUAAAAAAGCUCUCAAACUUGGUUUCUAUGUACUGGGUCAGAUACUUAACUGGAACCAUCCCUGCAGUUGAUUUAGUCUGCAGUCCACUCUUCUGUUCUGUACUGAGUUCUUUCAAGACCCUGAAUCUGCCAUUCCCUUCUUGAGGUGUUAUGGGCCUACCCAGGCUGACAAGAUAGAUGGAUGUUUUCAGAGUGGAACAAAACUUUUAUAGAUUUUUUUUUUUCCCCUCUUCCUACCCGUUUUUGAAAAAAUCCCUAAAAAUCACAACCCAAAGUCUGGAUGGCAGCAGCUCUCUGGCCACGGAGAGAAGCACAACUUUCCCAGGCAUGGUCCUGGGGAAGGCUAUGAGAAGAUCAGAGAAUAGAAUGAUAAGCAAUUCUCAUCUUAACUUGCUGUACCUGUUGUUGUGAGCAAGUGGCAUAUGUUAUGGAGAUUUGUUUACCAAAGGGUGGUUUCUUAAUUAGCCAGCGGUGAUGGUGUUUGGACUGGAGGACCAGUCAAGUCCAGCUGUAUCAUAACUGUCUAUAAAAUUAAUGGGUUUCUUAACAAAUAAAGAGAUUGAUCAGCCUUCUGUGAA
Non-coding RNA from Taeniopygia guttata (zebra finch), 24819 nucleotides. Lineage: Eukaryota; Metazoa; Chordata; Aves; Passeriformes; Estrildidae. The record is from RefSeq and is a predicted model, not a curated record.